GCCCUUUUCUGAUUCCACCAGGACACACCUGGCAAUGAAUGUGACAUUCAACACUGCCCAGGUUUCUUCCACUUGGAGGAGGCAAACUGGUGAAUGGAAGGAGGCAAUCCUCUGGCAGUGGGAUCCUAGGGAGCGAUAAUAAGGCAAGUUUGCUUGCUUGAAGGCUGCUGCUGGCCACCCGCGUCCCUAUAAAAAUUAGCAUCCAGACAACAGACUAAGCACCAGGUCACCUGAUUACAAUCUUCCCCAGACUGUGGAGAUGCAUUUCUAUUUAAAUCUGUGCCCUCUUUUGGCUUUUGGGGUGGGGCGUGAUGUAGUUCCUCUGUUUUGGCAAUGCCACUUUACAUCUCAGUGGGAAGUGGCCCAAGACUUGGAAGGUCAGCAUCCAGGCCAGGGCAAAUGAAUAUCUCAAAGAUUGCUCUUCCCAACAGAUAAUCCCAUCAGCUGAUACUGCUGGGCUGCUUGAAAUUGCAGUAAGAGACAUCCGAAAACGUCUGCUGCUAAUAGAUCGGAUCAUAUCUGAUGAGAGGCUUAUAUUGCUUUUGGCCAGCCGUUGCUGCUGUCCAGAGAAUAAAAAUAAAUUUCAGAGACAUGGCUAUCAGAGAGUCCGUUUCAAGAUGAAAACCCGAAAUUAAAACUUUAAAAACAAUGAACCCAAUGUACCAAGGGGGUUUUCAUUAUGGCCGCUGACUGCCAAAUCAGAAAUACUUUUUGCACAAAUUAUUGAGGUGACCACAGCAUUGAGAGAAUCCCUGUGGGCCACAUAAGGAUCAGUAUAGCUGCUAAUGGAGAAACUGACUCAACAGGGAAUUGCAGUGCUGAAAAUCCUAGGAAGCCAUAACACUUUGCAAUUUGGAGAGGGGUCUCCUGUUACAGGAGGCACAUAAAUGUUAUUGUUCUGUGCAAGUGCGUACCGUUUUAUGCACUUUUAUGGGAUGCCACUGACAGUUUGGCGAGAG
This is a non-coding RNA of Podarcis lilfordi (Lilford's wall lizard), 959 nucleotides long. Lineage: Eukaryota; Metazoa; Chordata; Lepidosauria; Squamata; Lacertidae. The record is from the annotation of a GenBank genome assembly.